Molecule: long non-coding RNA, 3620 nt
Organism: Chelonia mydas (Green sea turtle)
Lineage: Eukaryota; Metazoa; Chordata; Testudines; Cheloniidae
Exons: 3
Source: RefSeq, a predicted model, not a curated record
UGAAGGGUUGGUUAAUGAAGACACUCUCAAGCUAUUGGUAGGGGAGCCCUAAGUUUGUUCACAUCAGUCUUAAAGUGUGGCCUCCUUAACUGGACAUAGUACUCCAGCUGAGGCCUCACCACUGCUGAGUAGAAUGGGACAAUCACCUCCCCGGUCUUGCUGUGACAGAGUGCAGUGAGUUAACAGGCAUUUGACAUCUGAUCCUGCUUUCAUUGAAGUCAAUAGCAAAACUUCCACUGACUGAAUGGCAGCUGGACCGUGCCGUUAAACAGUUUGAGAAAUAUAACUAUAGAAGAAUGCAAGAAAACAUGUUCCCAAGGACAUAUGGAGUGUGUGUGUGUGUGUAUAUAUAUAUAUGUAUAUAUAUAAUAUAGGCAGAUACUGGGUAAAUCAAGACAGGUAUUGUUAUCUGCUGUUCAGUGUGUAUUGUGUCCCUUUUAGUGGCUGGUCCAAAGAUACUCACUACAGCAAUCCUUUAAAUUGCUUACUCCAUUAGGAUGGAGGGUCAUACUUUUAGCAUAAGGUCACAGAUUCAAUCCCUAGUGAAGACCAGUGAGAGUGAUCAUUAAUGUUACAAUGCAUUGAAAUACUGUGAAGGACAAUGCAAUGAUUUAGAUUACCUGGAGGGGAUCAGGUAAAUUCAGUUUGUUUAACUGAGGUUAUGUGGUGUCAUGAAACACAGCCAGACAAAACUGAUGGAGUUUGGCAUUUUAUUUCUGCACUGAUCAAAUAUUUUUUGAGGAAAAUGAAAAAAAUUAAAUAUUUCAGAUCUAUUUUUUCCACUUAAACUCAAAUCUGAGCAUGUCCUAACUGGGUUCUUCCCUCCUCAAGUUCACUGUGGUUCAUUUUGGGUGUAGCGGUAGCAGUCCUUCCCCAGCCAGCCAAGGAGAGAUUUCUGAACAUCUUCCUGGUCACUUCCUGAUCACAUGCAGGGCUUAGUUGGCUUCACAAAAUAGUAGGGCUGGGCACUUUGGAAUUUCUCUCUCCAAGCCCCCUGGGGUUUCCAUGCCCUUACCACCAUACCAUCAUGGAGAGAAGCUCGGUGACUUCAACCAACAGAUCAGGAAGAAAGGAGUCAGUAGCAGUGGUGGCUCAAGUCAGUGGUGAGGUCUGGGUGCUGCUGGAGGAGUGUAUUGUUAGUUGGAGGUUACUGAGUAGGCUAGGGCCUCUUCUAUCCACAGCUGGGACGAGACUGGUGGAACUUACAUUCCACUCACACGUGACUGGCAUGAGCUCUCAAUGUCCUACUUCAGGGUCCAGUUCAGGAGAAUGCUGGAGGGGUGGACACAGACCACAAACAGGCCAGUGGACAUUUAACACUCUAUGAUUACUGAGAUGCUGGUAACAUUGGCACUACCCUUAUCAAAAAUAUGUCAAAAUGGUGAAGUGCUGCUUUUCGGGUCCACUUUCACAGUAGCUUUCUUUGGGACUUUCUGGUUGUGGGAUCUUGGAUCAUGCUGGGUCCCUGUUACUAGUUAGCAAUGAACUUUUUUGUUUAGCUAUCUUAUUUUAAAUACUUACUCUUCUGAAGAAUUUAACACCAAACUUAAAAAUUCAGUAGUCCUCAUUAUCUGUGCAAGGGGUAAUUUAUUUGAUGACUAGAGGGUUUUUUGGAUGUUUUAAAAAAAAAAUUCAAUAUUAAGUAAGCAUUGUCAACAACAUACAACAUGAGUGUCCUAGAGUGCAAUGGCCCCCCAACUCUUCUCUGACAAUCUUUUUUAGAUUAAUUUGUUUUCUGAUGCCCCAAAUGCAUCAUGAAAUUUAACGGCGUCUUCCACUUCUAUUUUACAUCCUACUUGCACAGUAGUAAUUUAUUCUAAGGGAAAACUGUUUUCAUAGCUAAUCCCCACAUUUUAUGGCACUGUAAAAUAUGUAUGUAAUUUCUAAUUUAAUUACCAAUAGGUACUCCAUGUUUCUUUUCACACUGCACAAUAUGAGAUGCUGAGAAUGCAUCUGGAAUAAUGAAUGUCAUUAUUAUUUUUCAGUGAAAAGACUUGUCCAAUUGUUUUCUAUUCUGUCUCCUCUAUGCAUAGCAUUUUAUCAGAUGUUGGGAUAUUUAAAACAGUGGUCAUGCAUAUAUAGAAUAACAAUUUCAAUGUCAUUAGUAUGGCUUUUCACAACUUAUAUUCUUUUAAAACAUUGUGGCAUUUUGAUUUCUUGGAAACAUUUAGUUGGAAUUAGCUUUUUCAGAGUACAGAGUAAAAAUCAAUUUCUAACUUUCUUUUUUUAGCUGGAGGGAACAAAAUCCAAGAAAGUUUAGUGCAUAUUUUUGAAGUUUUCCCUCAAAGGCUUUCUUCACAUUGAAGAGAAAUAUGUAUGAAGAGAUAUAUUACCUACAGGCUUAUUAUAAAGUCCUGACUGUGCAGUAAAGAUGCAGCUGCUAGCAGUUCACCACCUAACUUUCCUUAAAUUCUAUUGGUGGAUCAUCUUAAAAGCCAAAGUUUUAGCAGCAGUUGUAAAAUUGUUUGCAUUGACAUGCCACAAUCUUUUUUUUUUUAAAUAUUUAAUUGCAUAAAGCAUAUAGUUUUAUUUAUGCAACUAUUGUUCCCCUUAUUCCCCCCCCCCCCCCCCCGGCUCUAAAAUUGCAUGAAAUUAGUCUGUGGUCUAUUAAGCAAGUUGUGCCUUGCUCUUGUGAUGCUAUCCACUCAUGUGGGCCCCUGUACCUGUGUAGAACCCCAUUCACUGCAGCAAGACUGCAUGUGGGUAAAAAGAUCUGCCCACACAGUCCAAAUUGCAGGAUUAAAAUACAUAGGUCCUGAUUCAGCAAAGGAAUUUAAACAGAUGCUUAAGACCAACUAUAUUCACCAUUCCCACUGACUUUAAUGAGAGUUGAGAACAUCCUUAAAUUUAAUCAUGUACUAAAGUGCUUGUUGAAUAAGGAUGGACUUAGGAAGAUCCUUAAAGUUAAGUGAAUUUAAGUCCUUUCCUGAAUUGGAGCCUAAUUUUUUAAAAUGAUUUUUAAUAUCUUAUAACAUCCUUUUUGUUUGCCUGUAGUUUAAAUUGACAAAACCUUUAAUUUUUAAAGUUUCAAUAAAUGUUUCUUAAUGUCUCUGCCUGUAUUCCUCAUUUUAUUUAUUCUUUGGAAAAAUUAUUUAUGAUCAGAUGUUGUGAAAACUCAUGACAGAUUUCCCAACCAUUUCUCUUUUUAUGUGCUGAACUGACAGAAGGACUGUGCUGCUCACCCAGUUGAAAGUAAUUUGGAAACAUCUCAUUCUUUUACUUGCAAUGGGUCUGAGUCUCUGACUGCAGUGGCAGCCUCUGCAAACAAUGAGCUGCAUGCCCAUUUUGUGUGAACUGGGGAAAUGAAUUGCCUAGGGCUCAAAAACUUGGACAUAUGUUUGUCUAGAGCAAUAAGUUUGGUUCCUGUACUAGACCUUGCUCAUUUAGUACUGUCACACAGUAAAGCUAAAAUGUGCCUGUAGUUAUAUGGUGAGUUUUCUCUCUCCUUUAUGUGUUAUAUAUACUGUGCAGGCAGAUGUAAACAGACUGCAGAGAGCUGCUGUGAUAUAGCCCCUCAUCCUAGACCUAAAGAGAAUCAUUUGAUGAUGGGGAAAGAGAAUAUUCUUAUUGUAUGUGGCCACUCAGUUUUUCAUCUCUCUCUUUUUUUUUUUUUUUUUUUU